UGAAUACGAGAUGCUACGGCGUCGAAGCAGUCUAUGUCAUACUUCCAAGAAAAGCUUGCACUGUCAUAAACAAAUAAUGCCUGUACCAUAACCGACACAGGUGGGUAGGUAGAGUAUACUAAGGGGCGCGAGAUAACUCUCUCUAAGGAACUCGGCAAAAUGACUCCGUAACUUCGGGAGAAGGAGUGCCUUAUUUAUAAGGUUGCAAUAACAAGAUCCAAGCAACUGUUUACCAAAAACACAGGUCUCCGCCAAGUCGUAAGACGAUGUAUGGGGGCUGACGCCUGCCCAGUGCCAGAAGGUUAAAGAAGUUGGUUAGCAUCCGCGAAGCUGAUAACUGAAGCCCUGGUGAACGGCGGCCGUAACUAUAACGGUCCUAAGGUAGCGAAAUUCCUUGUCGGGUAAGUUCCGACCCGCACGAAAGGCGUAAUGAUUUGGAUACUGUCUCGGAGAGGGGCUCGGUGAAAUAGACUUGUCUGUGAAGAUGCGGACUACCUGCACCAGGACAGAAAGACCCUAUGAAGCUUUACUGUAACCUGAAAUUGAAAUUGGACUUUACUUGCGCAGUAUAGGUGGGAGGCGUUGAGAAUAUUCUUGCGGGAUUAUUGGAGCCAUCAGUGAGAUACCACUCUUGUAAUGUUAGAUUUCUAACUUUGUAUCAUUAUCUGGUCAAAGAACAGUUUCAGGCGGGCAGUUUGACUGGGGCGGUCGCCUCCUAAACGGUAACGGAGGCGCACAAAGGUUUCCUCUGAACGGGUAGAAAUCGUAUCUAGAGUGUAAAGGCAUAAGGAAGCUUGACUGUGAGACCUACAAGUCGAGCAGGGACGAAAGUCGGUCUUAGUGAUCUGACGGUGCUGAGUGGAAAGGCCGUCACUCAACGGAUAAAAGUUACUCUAAGGAUAACAGGCUGAUCUCCCCCAAGAGUUCACAUCGACGGGGAGGUUUGGCACCUCGAUGUCGGCUCAUCGCAUCCUGGGGCGGUAGUACGUCCCAAGGGUUGGGCUGUUCGCCCAUGAAAGCGGUACACGAGCUGGGUUCAGAACGUCGUGAGACAGUUCGGUCCAUAUCCGGUGUAGGCGUUAGAAUAUUGAGAGGAGCCUUCUUUAGUACGAGAGGACCGAGAAGGACAUACCUCUGGUGUACCAGUUAUCGUGCCAACGGUAAACGCUGGGUAGCUAUGUGUGGAGUGGAUAACCGCUGAAAGCAUCUAAGUGGGAAGCCCACCUCAAGAUAAGUAUUCUC
This 1242-nucleotide ribosomal RNA is filed under the name metagenome. RNAcentral describes it as "bacterial LSU rRNA". It matches the Rfam family "Bacterial large subunit ribosomal RNA", at positions 1564 to 2815 of the family's 2925-position model. The record is from RNAcentral.